CAGUAGCCACGGGAAUACGAAUGGGGCUAGCGUUGUUCGGAUUUACUGGGCGUAAAGCGCACGUAGGCGGACUUUUAAGUCAGGGGUGAAAUCCCGGGGCUCAACCCCGGAACUGCCUUUGAUACUGGAAGUCUUGAGUAUGGUAGAGGUGAGUGGAAUUCCGAGUGUAGAGGUGAAAUUCGUAGAUAUUCGGAGGAACACCAGUGGCGAAGGCGGCUCACUGGACCAUUACUGACGCUGAGGUGCGAAAGCGUGGGGAGCAAACAGGAUUAGAUACCCCGGUAGUCCCUGUCUCUUAUAC
RNAcentral lists this ribosomal RNA (301 nucleotides) under uncultured bacterium. Its description in RNAcentral is "partial 16S ribosomal RNA". It matches the Rfam family "Bacterial small subunit ribosomal RNA", at positions 509 to 807 of the family's 1533-position model. The record is from RNAcentral.